Molecule: transfer RNA, 96 nt
Filed under: Alphaproteobacteria bacterium
Lineage: Bacteria; Pseudomonadati; Pseudomonadota; Alphaproteobacteria
Description: tRNA-Thr
Source: RNAcentral
AUGUGCGUGUGGGGCUCGAUGACCCCGGGAAACACGUAUUUUCCCGAGGCAUCGAUGGCCUCGCGCGCGGCCGGUUCGAAGCCCGGCGCGUAGAUG